RNAcentral lists this ribosomal RNA (1051 nucleotides) under Lactococcus lactis. RNAcentral describes it as "bacterial SSU rRNA". It matches the Rfam family "Bacterial small subunit ribosomal RNA", at positions 131 to 1130 of the family's 1533-position model. The record is from RNAcentral. Lineage: Bacteria; Bacillati; Bacillota; Bacilli; Lactobacillales; Streptococcaceae.
UUUUAGCGGGGGACAACAUUUGGAAACGAAUGCUUUACCGCAUAAAAACUUUAAACACAAGUUUUAAGUUUGAAAGAUGCAAUUGCAUCACUCAAAGAUGAUCCCGCGUUGUAUUAGCUAGUUGGUGAGGUAAAGGCUCACCAAGGCGAUGAUACAUAGCCGACCUGAGAGGGUGAUCGGCCACAUUGGGACUGAGACACGGCCCAAACUCCUACGGGAGGCAGCAGUAGGGAAUCUUCGGCAAUGGACGAAAGUCUGACCGAGCAACGCCGCGUGAGUGAAGAAGGUUUUCGGAUCGUAAAACUCUGUUGGUAGAGAAGAACGUUGGUGAGAGUGGAAAGCUCAUCAAGUGACGGUAACUACCCAGAAAGGGACGGCUAACUACGUGCCAGCAGCCGCGGUAAUACGUAGGUCCCGAGCGUUGUCCGGAUUUAUUGGGCGUAAAGCGAGCGCAGGUGGUUUAUUAAGUCUGGUGUAAAAGGCAGUGGCUUAACCAUUGUAUGCAUUGGAAACUGGUAGACUUGAGUGCAGGAGAGGAGAGUGGAAUUCCAUGUGUAGCGGUGAAAUGCGUAGAUAUAUGGAGGAACACCGGUGGCGAAAGCGGCUCUCUGGCCUGUAACUGACACUGAGGCUCGAAAGCGUGGGGGAGCAAACAGGAUUAGAUACCCUGGUAGUCCACGCCCGUAACGAUGGAGUGCUAGAUGUAGGGAGCUUAUAAGUUCUCUGUAUCGCAGCUUAAGCAUUAAGCACUCCCGCCUGGGGGAGUACGACCGCCAGGUUUGAAAACUCCAAAGAAUUUGACGGGGGGCCCCGCCACUAGCGGGGGGAGAUGGUGGUUUUAUUUCGGAACAACCGCGAAGAAACCUUUACCAGGACUUGGACAUACUCCGUGGCUAUUCCUAAAAAGAUAGGAAGGUUCCUUCCGGUAACACGGGAUACAGGUUGGUUGCAUGAUUUGCCGUCCAGCUCGUGUCCUGAGAGAUGUUGGGGUUUUAUGUCCCGCAACAGAGCGCAAUACCCUCUAAUCGUGUUAGUGUGCCAUCCUUUCAUU